CUACUUUAAAAAUGUCUACCACAUCAAUAGAUAUCUUUUACCAAAUACCUGCAUUCACAACUCUCACUGGCCACUUCAUUCAAAGACAAAAAUCCAAUCAUGAGCAUCUUUUACACUGAGCAAGGAAUAAUAAGCCAAGUGCCAUUUGCUGCCUCUACAUAGUCAUUUUUAAUAAAUGAGAUUUUGAUUUUUGGUUGUUGUUUCAUUUCUGUUUUUAAUCUUCUUGUGCUGAGAGAGGUAAGUGCCUAAUUCCAUUGAACAAUUCAUGUGAAAAAGGAGAAAUUUAUUGGCUUCUCUGCAAAUUAAACUCAUCUUGAAACCAUACCAUGAUAGAAAAGUUAACAGGGGGAAGCACUUGAAUUCAGACUGGAGAAAAAUUAAAAGCUUGCAAAGCAAAUAAGAGAGUCUGGAAAGAAUUUCACAAAGAGAGAGAGAGAGAACACCAAACACCACUGGAGAACAACAAUUUUCAGAGGAAGCCUGGAGCUUAGGCUGUCAAAGGAAGGAUAGUGAGGAAUAGGUAGGCAAGAGUGAGCUAUGAUUGCACUACUGCACUCCAGCCUGGGUAACACAGCCAGAUCCUGUCUCUCAAAAGAAGAAAAUAAAAGAAAAAAAAGUAAUGUCAAAACCAGAAUUACUUUUGCAUCAACUUGAUAGCAUAAUCAAAUCAUGGUACUGUGUUCCCCAGCUACUCUGAACAGAAAUGUGAUGCUGAAUUGCAAGUUGUGGGUGAUGUGAACUUCCAAUGAAGGUGAUUUGCUGAUGGAUGUAGGCUGGCUAUCAUGCCGGCUCCUCUCCAACCCCAUUCCAUUUGAGGUACCAGUGUUCUUCCAAUAUAACUAACUCCAAAUACAAAAAGCAUUCUCUGGCCCUGAGUGUCAGAAAUCCUUAGCUUCAAACUGUGAUAAAUUUAGGGAACUCAGAGCAGCUGCAUUGACACACAUUUCUCAGGCUAUCUCUCUUCAUUUACUCCAUUCAUGGAGAAUUCUUCUUGUCAUGGUGUUACAGCCCUUGUGUCAGGAAAGACUUGUAUAAUUUAGAAAUGUGUUCCUAAAAUAGUGAAAGGGCUAAAAUGUCUCAGAGGCAUAUAAUGACCUCAAAGGACUCCAACAAGAGGAACCUUGCCAGAGAGAGCUGAUCACAUGGAACUGCAGAUGAGGCAGCAACAUGAAUGGGAUCCAACCCAUUAGUCCAACAGUUUAUACCUGCAUGUAAUUAAAGGGACACCAAUAAAUAAGUGCUUUGAUAUUUAGAGAAGUGAGAUGUAAAAUCAUGGAUUCAUGGAACUUGAUAUCGUAGGACUCUUCAAGGUCAUCUAUUCUAGCCAGUGGUCAGCUGUUGCUUGAAUUUCAUUUACAAUUGUCUUGGUAAGUGAUCUUCAGUCUCUGCUUGGUUAUUUCCAGUAGCAGAGAACUCACCACUUCCUGCAGGUGAUUCUCUUCUUAUAAUACCUAAUUUUUGUCUUGGUUUUGGUUUUGGUUUGAGGCAGGGUCUUGCUCUGAUGCCUAGGCAGAAAUGGAGCAGCAAGACCACAGCUUACUGCAGCAUCAACCUUCCAAACUUAAGCAAUCUUCCCACCUCAGCUUCCUGAGUAGC
RNAcentral lists this long non-coding RNA (1596 nucleotides) under Callithrix jacchus (white-tufted-ear marmoset). RNAcentral describes it as "lncRNA (ENSCJAG00000077311.1)". The record is from RNAcentral. Lineage: Eukaryota; Metazoa; Chordata; Mammalia; Primates; Cebidae.